CUACGGGUCGCUGCAGUGAGGAAUAUUGCACAAUGGGGGGAACCCUGAUGCAGCAACGCCGCGUGGAGGAUGACGCAUUUCGGUGUGUAAACUCCUUUUAUAUGUCAAGAAAAUGACGGUAGCAUAUGAAUAAGCACCGGCUAACUCCGUGCCAGCAGCCGCGGUAAUACGGAGGGUGUAAGCGUUACUCGGAAUCACUGGGCGUAAAGGACGCGUAGGCGGGUUGGAAAGUCAGGUGUGAAAUCCUACAGCUUAACUGUAGAACUGCACUUGAAACUUCUAAUCUAGAGUAUGGGAGGGGGAGAUGGAAUUAGUGGUGUAGGGGUACAAUCCGUAGAUAUCACUAGGAAUACCUAAAGCGAAGGCGAUCUCCUGGAACAUUACUGACGCUAAGGAGUGAAAGCUUGGGGAGCAAACAGGAUUAGAUACCCGCGUAGUC
This 439-nucleotide ribosomal RNA is filed under the name uncultured bacterium. RNAcentral's name for it is "partial 16S ribosomal RNA". It matches the Rfam family "Bacterial small subunit ribosomal RNA", at positions 339 to 795 of the family's 1533-position model. The record is from RNAcentral.